GACGAACGCUGGCGGCGCGCUUAACACAUGCAAGUCGAACGCUGAACCCGCUUCGGUGGGGGAUGAGUGGCGAACGGGUGAGUAACACGUGGGCAACCUGCCCCCGGCUCUGGGAUAACUCCAAGAAAUUGGGGCUAAUACCGGAUGUGACCGCUGGCCGCAUGGUCUGGUGGUGGAAAGGGUUUCCGGCUGGGGAUGGGCCCGCGGCCUAUCAGCUUGUUGGUGGGGUAGUGGCCUACCAAGGCGACGACGGGUAGCCGGCCUGAGAGGGUGACCGGCCACACUGGGACUGAGACACGGCCCAGACUCCUACGGGAGGCAGCAGUGGGGAAUAUUGCGCAAUGGGCGGAAGCCUGACGCAGCGACGCCGCGUGGGGGAUGACGGCCUUCGGGUUGUAAACCUCUUUCAGCAGGGACGAAGCGCAAGUGACGGUACCUGCAGAAGAAGCACCGGCCAACUACGUG
This 465-nucleotide ribosomal RNA is filed under the name uncultured bacterium. Its description in RNAcentral is "partial 16S ribosomal RNA". It matches the Rfam family "Bacterial small subunit ribosomal RNA", at positions 28 to 507 of the family's 1533-position model. The record is from RNAcentral.